Molecule: ribosomal RNA, 2902 nt
Filed under: Oleiphilus sp. HI0043
Lineage: Bacteria; Pseudomonadati; Pseudomonadota; Gammaproteobacteria; Oceanospirillales; Oleiphilaceae
Also listed under: 12 other names
Description: bacterial LSU rRNA
Rfam family: Bacterial large subunit ribosomal RNA
Source: RNAcentral
GUUAUAUAGUUAAGUGACUAAGCGCAUACGGUGGAUGCCUUGGCAGUCAGAGGCGAUGAAGGACGUAGUAACCUGCGAUAAGCGUUGGUAAGCUGGUAAACAAGCUUUGACCCAACGAUUUCCGAAUGGGGAAACCCAUCUAACAUAAGUUAGAUAUCUUGCACUGAAUACAUAGGUGUAAGAAGCAAACCCGGAGAACUGAAACAUCUAAGUACCCGGAGGAAAAGAAAUCAACCGAGAUUCCCUUAGUAGCGGCGAGCGAACGGGGAUUAGCCGAUGAUUAUUGAAUUAGUGGAACGCUCUGGGAAGUGCGGCCAUAGUGGGUGAUAGCCCCGUACACGAAGAUUCAAUAGUCACAUAUUAAGUAGGACGGGACACGUGUUAUCUUGUCUGAAGAUGGGGGGACCAUCCUCCAAGGCUAAAUACUCCUGACUGACCGAUAGUGAACCAGUACCGUGAGGGAAAGGCGAAAAGAACCCCUGUGAGGGGAGUGAAAUAGAUCCUGAAACCGUAUGCGUACAAGCAGUGGGAGCAGACUUGUUCUGUGACUGCGUACCUUUUGUAUAAUGGGUCAGCGACUUAAUUUUAGUAGCAAGGUUAACCGUAUAGGGGAGCCGUAGGGAAACCGAGUCUUAAUAGGGCGUUUAGUUGCUGGGAUUAGACCCGAAACCGAGUGAUCUAGCCAUGAGCAGGUUGAAGAUCAGGUAACACUGAUUGGAGGACCGAACCCACUUAUGUUGAAAAAUGAGGGGAUGACUUGUGGCUAGGAGUGAAAGGCUAAUCAAACUCGGAGAUAGCUGGUUCUCCUCGAAAGCUAUUUAGGUAGCGCCUCGUGUAUCACCCUGGGGGGUAGAGCACUGUUUGGGCUAGGGGGUCAUCCCGACUUACCAACCCCAUGCAAACUCCGAAUACCCAGGAGUGCGAUCACGGGAGACACACGGCGGGUGCUAACGUCCGUCGUGGAGAGGGCAACAACCCAGACCGCCAGCUAAGGUCCCAAAGUUACAGUUAAGUGGGAAACGAUGUGGGAAGGCUUAGACAGCUAGGAGGUUGGCUUAGAAGCAGCCAUCCUUUAAAGAAAGCGUAAUAGCUCACUAGUCGAGUCGGCCUGCGCGGAAGAUUUAACGGGGCUCAAACUGUACACCGAAGCUGCGGAUAUCUUUUAGAUAUGGUAGAGGAGCGUUCUGUAAGCUGAUGAAGCUCAAUUGAGAAGUUGGGUGGAGGUAUCAGAAGUGCGAAUGCUGACAUGAGUAACGACAAAGGGGGUGAAAAACCCCCUCGCCGGAAGACCAAGGGUUCCUGCGCAACGUUAAUCGGCGCAGGGUGAGUCGGCCCCUAAGGCGAGGCUGAGAAGCGUAGUCGAUGGGAAACAGGUUAAUAUUCCUGUACUUGUAUAUAUUGCGAUGGGGAGACGGAGAAAGCUAAACCAGCAUGGCGACGGUUGUCCAUGUUUAAGGUUGUAGGCUGAGGACUUAGGCAAAUCCGGGUCCUUAAGGCUGAGAACUGAUGACGAGAUCUCUUUUAGAGAUUGAAGUGGUUGAUGCUCUGCUUCCAGGAAAAACCUCUAAGCUUCAGAUAUAUAGGAACCGUACCCCAAACCGACACAGGUGGUCAGGUAGAGAAUACCAAGGCGCUUGAGAGAACUCGGGUGAAGGAACUAGGCAAAAUGGUACCGUAACUUCGGGAGAAGGUACGCCGAUUUUGGUGAUCAGACUUGCUCUGUAAGCUGAGGUCGGCCGAAGAUACCAGUUGGCUGCGACUGUUUAUUAAAAACACAGUACUCUGCAAACACGAAAGUGGACGUAUAGGGUAUGACACCUGCCCGGUGCCGGAAGGUUAAUUGAUGGGGUUAGCGUAUGCGAAGCUCUUGAUCGAAGCCCCGGUAAACGGCGGCCGUAACUAUAACGGUCCUAAGGUAGCGAAAUUCCUUGUCGGGUAAGUUCCGACCUGCACGAAUGGUGUAACGAUGGCCAAGCUGUCUCCACCCGAGACUCAGUGAAAUUGAAAUCGCUGUUAAGAUGCAGCGUAUCCGCGGCUAGACGGAAAGACCCCGUGAACCUUUACUAUAGCUUCACAGUGAACUUUGAACCUAUUUGUGUAGGAUAGGUGGGAGGCUUUGAAACCAGGUCGCUAGAUCUGGUGGAGCCAUCCUUGAAAUACCACCCUGGUAUGUUUGAGGUUCUAACUCGGGUCCCUUAUCGGGAUCGAGGACACUGUGUGGUGGGUAGUUUGACUGGGGCGGUCUCCUCCCAAAGAGUAACGGAGGAGCACGAAGGUGCGCUAAGCAUGGUCGGACAUCAUGCGGUUAGUGUAAUGGCAUAAGCGCGCUUAACUGCGAGACAGACACGUCGAGCAGGUACGAAAGUAGGUCAUAGUGAUCCGGUGGUUCUGUAUGGAAGGGCCAUCGCUCAACGGAUAAAAGGUACUCCGGGGAUAACAGGCUGAUACCGCCCAAGAGUUCACAUCGACGGCGGUGUUUGGCACCUCGAUGUCGGCUCAUCACAUCCUGGGGCUGAAGCCGGUCCCAAGGGUAUGGCUGUUCGCCAUUUAAAGUGGUACGCGAGCUGGGUUUAGAACGUCGUGAGACAGUUCGGUCCCUAUCUGCCGUGGACGUUGGAAAAUUGAGAAGAGCUGCUCCUAGUACGAGAGGACCGGAGUGGACGAACCCCUGGUGUUCGGGUUGUGUCGCCAGACGCAUUGCCCGGUAGCUACGUUCGGACAGGAUAACCGCUGAAAGCAUCUAAGCGGGAAGCCCCCUUCAAGAUAAGUUUUCCCUGGGAAUUUAAUUCCCCUAAAGAGCCGUUAAAGACUAUGACGUUGAUAGGCUGGGUGUGUAAGUGCGGUAACGUAUUGAGCUAACCAGUACUAAUUGCUCGUGAGGCUUAACUAUAUAACGCCCAAG